Molecule: ribosomal RNA, 837 nt
Filed under: uncultured bacterium
Lineage: Bacteria
Description: bacterial SSU rRNA
Rfam family: Bacterial small subunit ribosomal RNA
Source: RNAcentral
AGAGUUUGAUCUUUCCUCACAUUGAACGCUGGCGGAAUGCUUUACACAUGCAAGUCGAACGGGCUUAAAGAGCUUGCUCUUUAAGUUAGUGGCGAACGGGUGAGUAAUAUAUCGGAACGUAUCCAAUAAUGGGGGAUAACUAAGCGAAAGCUUGGCUAAUACCGCAUACGCCCUACGGGGGAAAGCUAGGGACCUUCGGGCCUGGCGUUAAUGGAGCGGCCGAUAUCUGAUUAGCUAGUUGGUGAGGUAAAGGCUCACCAAGGCGACGAUCAGUAGCUGGUCUGAGAGGACGACCAGCCACACUGGAACUGAGACACGGUCCAGACUCCUACGGGAGGCAGCAGUGGGGAAUUUUGGACAAUGGGCGCAAGCCUGAUCCAGCCAUUCCGCGUGAGUGAAGAAGGCCUUCGGGUUGUAAAGCUCUUUCGCAAGGGAAGAACACUUAGUCUCUAACAUAGACUGAGGUUGACGGUACCUUGAUAAGAAGCACCGGCUAACUACGUGCCAGCAGCCGCGGUAAUACGUAGGGUGCGAGCGUUAAUCGGAAUUACUGGGCGUAAAGCGUGCGCAGGCUGUUUUGUAAGUCAGAUGUGAAAUCCCCGAGCUCAACUUGGGAACUGCGUUUGAAACUACAAGACUAGAAUAUGUCAGAGGGGGGUAGAAUUCCACGUGUAGCAGUGAAAUGCGUAGAGAUGUGGAGGAAUACCAAUGGCGAAGGCAGCCCCCUGGGAUAAUAUUGACGCUCAUGCACGAAAGCGUGGGGAGCAAACAGGAUUAGAUACCCUGGUAGUCCACGCCCCUAACGAUGUCUACUAGUUGUUGGUGGAGUAAAAUCAU